CUAUGAUGAAUUGUUUUGUCUCCAAAAACCUAAUACCAAUUAACCCAAAAUUAUCUUCCCAAAAUGUCCCAAAGUUUUCGUCCCCAGAAACCUGAUAUCCAUUAACCCGAAAUUUUUGCCCCAAAAUGUCAUAUUCUUCAAAUCUUCUUCUCUCAAUCAAGAUUUUCGCAAUCUUCACUCAAAUUUCCUCCAAAACCGAUGGCUAGAUCCCUCUUUCUCUCUCUAAACAAAUCCAUCUCCACCCCCGCCACAAGCGUCACCUCCUUCUCCUCAGCCCAUCGACUCACCUCGUAUCUCUCCGCGCUCAAUCCAACCAAACCGACCUCUCCGACCUUUCCACUUCUUCCGACUCCACCAUUGACCCUUUGCACUCGAUUUGUUUUAAUUAGCUGUUUGCUUACUCAUUUGCUCAAGUUCUUUAGAAUUUUGAUGUGUUAUAGUUUGUAUUUUUUAAUGUUUCAAAUGGGUUAACUGUUUUGUAUGCUUGUAUUGUUGGUUGCGCUACUUGGAAUUGGUACCCAGAUGGAUUUCAUAUCACCUACUAGGUUAGGGUGGAGGAGAGGAGGAUUAUGAGAAGAAUUGGGAUAAGUUUUGGGAUGGUAGUGGCGACGACGACGGUGGCCAUGUCUUUUAGAGGGUUUCAAGCUGGUGGAGGUCCAGGUGCUUGCUUGCUGCUGGAAGAGAAGAGAUCGAGAGCCAAAUUGAAUUGUUGGUAAAUGAGUGAGGUUGAAUCUUAACAGCUUGUCAGGUUCACUUUCUCCAUCUAUCGGCAAUCUAACUGCAUUAAUAAACCUGGACUUCGGCGUUCGACGUUAAUAGAUUAUCUGGGUAACUUCCAAAAGAGCUUGGGAUGCUUUCUGAAUUAGCAUUCCUGUGGUUGGAAUACAGUUGAAUCCUCAGUUUAUGGGCAUUGAUCUCAAAUGAGUGUGGCAGGAGCCAGAAAAGCUGGUCAAAGUCAAUAUGGGUGGUUCAAGGAAGCAUUAGAUAGAUUAGUAGAGGAACUAACGUCGCAACGACAACAACUUGAUGAGGAAUAACUGGUAAAUCAUUCUUUGAAGCUAAUCAAGAAAAUCUGAAUUGUAAAUAAAAUGUUGUUGAAGACAAAGAGAUUGCAUUUAGGGCAGAUAAACUUGAGCUCGAAGUAGUAGGGAUGGAAGCAAAGAAGAAACUAUGACAGCAUUGAAGAUUUUGGGCUAUAGGAAAGAACAAAGAUGUUUGCAAUUUUGUUUCUUAUUUCACUCUUUUGGGAUUGGAAUCCUGAAACUUACUUAGAAGAUUCUGUGAUAGUGGGUAAGUAGGAAUUGUAAUGUUGACAGCUUUUGUUAAUAAAGAAGUGCAAUUUGAUUU
Pistacia vera is the source of this 1347-nucleotide long non-coding RNA. RefSeq lists it as uncharacterized. NCBI's taxonomy places the organism in Eukaryota, Viridiplantae, Streptophyta, Magnoliopsida, Sapindales, Anacardiaceae. The transcript is spliced from 6 exons. The record is from RefSeq and is a predicted model, not a curated record.